GGGUCAGUAGGUUGGUCGUGCCACCGGUACGUACUGGUCUCACUGAUUCCUCCUUCCUGAAGAACCGUAAUGCCAUUAAUUUGGUGUUGCGGGGAAACAGGACUGUUACUUUGAAAAUAUUAGAGUGUUUAAAGCAAGCUAACGCUUGAAUACAUUAGCAUGGAAUAAUGAAAUAGGACGAUCGAUCCUAUUUUGUUGGUUUCUAGGAUUGACGUA
RNAcentral lists this ribosomal RNA (216 nucleotides) under Glomeromycotina sp. RNAcentral's name for it is "partial small subunit ribosomal RNA". The stretch from base 40 to 216 matches the Rfam family "Eukaryotic small subunit ribosomal RNA", at positions 686 to 864 of the family's 1831-position model. Lineage: Eukaryota; Fungi; Glomeromycota. The record is from RNAcentral.